UAAAUACUCCCUCCAUUCAGAAUUACUUGUUGUGGAAAUGUGUAAAAAUGGAUGUAUUUAAAACUAAAAUAUGUCUAGAUACAACUAUUUCUGCAACAGUAAUUCGGGACGGAGGGAGUAGUAC
This is a non-coding RNA of Triticum urartu, 124 nucleotides long. Lineage: Eukaryota; Viridiplantae; Streptophyta; Magnoliopsida; Poales; Poaceae. The record is from Rfam.